Molecule: ribosomal RNA, 35 nt
Filed under: Melibe viridis
Lineage: Eukaryota; Metazoa; Mollusca; Gastropoda; Nudibranchia; Dendronotidae
Description: partial 5.8S rRNA
Source: RNAcentral
ACAACUCCGGGCGGGGGAUCACUCGGCUCGCGCGU